GACGGAGGUCCCGAGCGUUGUUCGGAAUCACUGGGCUUAAAGCGCGUGUAGGCGGACGAGCGAGUACCUUGUGAAAUCCCCGGGCUCAACCCGGGAAUGGCUGGGUAUACUGCUCGUCUUGAGGCAGGUAGGGGUCACUGGAACCUUAGGUGGAGCGGUGAAAUGCGUAGAUAUCUAAGGGAACGCCUGUGGCGAAAGCGGGUGACUGGGCCUGUCCUGACGCUGAGACGCGAAAGCGUAGGGAG
This 245-nucleotide ribosomal RNA is filed under the name uncultured bacterium. RNAcentral describes it as "partial 16S ribosomal RNA". It matches the Rfam family "Bacterial small subunit ribosomal RNA", at positions 524 to 768 of the family's 1533-position model. The record is from RNAcentral.